GCCUAACACAUGCAAGUCGAACGAGACCUUCGGGUCUAGUGGCGCACGGGUGCGUAACGCGUGGGAAUCUGCCCUUAGGUUCGGAAUAACUCAGGGAAACUUGAGCUAAUACCGGAUGAUGUCUUCGGACCAAAGAUUUAUCGCCUAGGGGUGAGCCCGCGUAGGAUUAGCUUGUUGGUGAGGUAAAGGCUCACCAAGGCGACGAUCCUUAGCUGGUCUGAGAGGAUGAUCAGCCACACUGGGACUGAGACACGGCCCAGACUCCUACGGGAGGCAGCAGUGGGGAAUAUUGGACAAUGGGCGAAAGCCUGAUCCAGCAAUGCCGCGUGAGUGAUGAAGGCCCUAGGGUUGUAAAGCUCUUUUACCCGGGAUGAUAAUGACAGUACCGGGAGAAUAAGCCCCGGCUAACUCCGUGCCAGCAGCCGCGGUAAUACGGAGGGGGCUAGCGUUGUUCGGAAUUACUGGGCGUAAAGCGUACGUAGCCGGUGAUUCAAGUCAGAGGUGAAAGCCCGGAGCUCAACUCCGGAACUGCCUUUGAAACUAGAUCGCUUGAACGUCGGAGAGGUGAGUGGAAUUCCGAGUGUAGAGGUGAAAUUCGUAGAUAUUCGGAAGAACACCAGUGGCGAAGGCGGCUCACUGGACGACUGUUG
RNAcentral lists this ribosomal RNA (650 nucleotides) under uncultured Alphaproteobacteria bacterium. Its description in RNAcentral is "bacterial SSU rRNA". It matches the Rfam family "Bacterial small subunit ribosomal RNA", at positions 46 to 742 of the family's 1533-position model. The record is from RNAcentral. Lineage: Bacteria; Pseudomonadati; Pseudomonadota; Alphaproteobacteria.